Molecule: ribosomal RNA, 123 nt
Filed under: Pteropus vampyrus (large flying fox)
Lineage: Eukaryota; Metazoa; Chordata; Mammalia; Chiroptera; Pteropodidae
Source: RNAcentral
GUCUACGGCCAUGCCACCCUGAACAAGCCUGAUCCCAUCUGAUCUCGGAAGCUAAGCACGGUUGGGCCCGGUUAGUCCUGGGAUGGGAAGCGAAGCUAAGCAGGGUUGGGCCCGCUGUAGGGU